RNAcentral lists this ribosomal RNA (561 nucleotides) under Bryobilimbia diapensiae. Its description in RNAcentral is "SSU rRNA". It matches the Rfam family "Bacterial small subunit ribosomal RNA", at positions 442 to 1191 of the family's 1533-position model. The record is from RNAcentral. Lineage: Eukaryota; Fungi; Ascomycota; Lecanoromycetes; Lecideales; Lecideaceae.
AUGUCGAAUAAAGUUCUAGAUAGUAUUAUGAUAAUGACAGUCUAUCUAUGCUUGGCCAAAUUACGUGCCAGCAGCCGCGGUAAUACGUUAAAGACUAGUGUUAUUCAUCUUUAAUAGGUUUAAAGGGUACCUAGACAGUAAAUCAAGCCGGACUAAAUACUAGAGUUUGAUAUGAGGAAGAAGUACUGUUGGUGUAGAGAUGAAAUUCAAUGAUACUGGCACAGGUAUAGGCGAAAGCAUCUUCUUAUGUAAUAACUGACGUUGUAGGAUUAGAUACCCUAGUAGUCCAGGCAGAAAAUUAUGAAUGUUAUAGACUGAGUGUAUAAAUGAAAGUGUAAGCAUUCCACCUCAAGAGUAAUGUGGCAACACAGGAACUGAAAUCAUUAGACCGUUUCUGAAACCAGUAGUGAAGUAUGUUAUUUAAUUCGAUGACCCUCGAAAAACCUUACCACAAUUUGAACAGGCGUUGCACGGCUGUCUUCAGUUAAUGUCGUGAGAUUUUGGUUAGAUCCAUUAAAUUAACGUAAACCCUUGCUCCACAGACAGGGACCAAGACAAGUC